The sequence is an unclassified non-coding RNA, 300 nucleotides long. The stretch from base 1 to 46 matches the Rfam family "Eukaryotic small subunit ribosomal RNA", at positions 1786 to 1831 of the family's 1831-position model.
AAGUCGUAACAAGGUCUCCGUAGGUGAACCUGCGGAGGGAUCAUUAACACGUUCCAUACCAACAUUAUCAACCCACUGUGAACUUUUGUAUCCGCCGAUAUGGUGUGACACGGGGAAUACGGUGCAUAUCAUUAUCCAACGAUGAAGGUGAAUGAAGUCAAAUUCAUUCAUACGGAUAGUGUAUGCUGUGAUGUCAGUCUUUGAGCUGACAGCCGUCCCUGUUGAUCAUCCGGCCCCCAUAUAUGUGAUCAGUAGUCAUCAUCUGCUGCUGACUCCAUAUCCACACGCCCUGUCAAAAUU